Molecule: ribosomal RNA, 561 nt
Filed under: Epichloe festucae var. lolii
Lineage: Eukaryota; Fungi; Ascomycota; Sordariomycetes; Hypocreales; Clavicipitaceae
Description: partial large subunit ribosomal RNA
Rfam family: Eukaryotic large subunit ribosomal RNA
Source: RNAcentral
GUACGGCGAGUGAGCGGCAACAGCUCAAAUUUGAAAUCUGGCCCCCCGGGGCCCGAGUUGUAAUUUGCAGAGGAUGCUUUUGGCGAGGCGCCUUCCGAGUUCCCUGGAACGGGACGCCACAGAGGGUGAGAGCCCCGUCUGGUUGGAUGCCGAGCCUCUGUAAAGCUCCUUCGACGAGUCGAGUAGUUUGGGAAUGCUGCUCUAAAUGGGAGGUAUAUGUCUUCUAAAGCUAAAUAUUGGCCAGAGACCGAUAGCGCACAAGUAGAGUGAUCGAAAGAUGAAAAGCACUUUGAAAAGAGGGUUAAAUAGUACGUGAAAUUGUUGAAAGGGAAGCGCUCAUGACCAGACUUGGGCCCGGUGAAUCAUCCAGCGUUCUCGCUGGUGCACUUUGCCGGGCUCAGGCCAGCAUCAGUUCGCCCCGGGGGAGAAAGGCUCUGGGAAUGUGGCUCCUCCGGGAGUGUUAUAGCCCUCUGCGCAAUGCCCUGGGGCGGACUGAGGUCCGCGCAUCUGCAAGGAUGCUGGCGUAAUGGUCAUCAGCGACCCGUCUUGAAACCACGGACC